This is a long non-coding RNA of Talpa occidentalis (Iberian mole), 892 nucleotides long. RefSeq lists it as uncharacterized. Lineage: Eukaryota; Metazoa; Chordata; Mammalia; Eulipotyphla; Talpidae. The transcript is spliced from 5 exons. The record is from RefSeq and is a predicted model, not a curated record.
GUGCGCCCGGAGUGGCCCACUGGGAAGCGCCUUGGGAGGGGGUGCAAGGUGGUUGGGUGUAUAGCAGGUGGAGGAUCACGAACCGGCGCCGACUGAGCACCACAGAUCCUGAUACAAGCCACAGACUUCUGCAGUUAGUCAUAGAGCGGCAUGUCACAUGCAGUGAGCUUGGCAACAGGCCAGGUGGUGGGAUGUCAUUAAUUUCUGGCAACUGGGGAAGUGCCUGUCUGCCCCUCGUGACAGCUGGGAACACUAAGUCUCCAUCUUAACACCAAGCCAUGCUGUGAACUUGACAAAGCCACGGUUUUUCACUGUGGUCAGAGAAAGGAGGAUGACAACAUUUACAGAACUACCUCUGAGCUCUAUAUUUAAGGAUGACUCUGCCUCCAAAUCCAAAGAUUUAUUGAAGCAUAAUUGAUAAAUGCCAAAAUGUAUAUUUAAGCCUAAAAUGAAUGAGUUCUGACAUAUCUACACAUAGGUAAAACUCAGACCACCAUCAAGAAAAUGGCAGUAUCCAUCACCCUAAGAUUCCUGUGCCUCACUCCUUUACCCCCACCAACCUCUCAAAAAAUGCUGAGGUUACUAUAUAUUUAUUUGCACUUUUUAGAAUUUAUAUAAUUGGAAUAUUAUAUAUAUUUUCAUGGACUAGUAUGGAAAAUACCAUUUUUUAAAAUUCCUCAGUAUUUGAUGUUUGUGUUUUCUGAUGUGUUAUGAAUAUUGAUGAAUAUGAAUGUUGAUGAAUAUUCUAGAGUCUAAAAGAUUCAAACUGUCACAUUACAUGGUUCUUUCACUGCUCUGGAGUCCCAUUUUUUUCUGUUUUCUUCCUCUCAUCUCUCCCUAGCUAUGGGUUUGCUUAUCAUUUGUAUUCACCUUUGACUAAAAUUGCACUUUC